RNAcentral lists this ribosomal RNA (255 nucleotides) under uncultured bacterium. Its description in RNAcentral is "partial 16S ribosomal RNA". It matches the Rfam family "Bacterial small subunit ribosomal RNA", at positions 524 to 776 of the family's 1533-position model. The record is from RNAcentral.
GACGGGGGAUGCAAGUGUUAUCCGGAAUCACUGGGCGUAAAGCGUCUGCAGGUGGUUUCCUAAGUCCACUGUUAAACCUUGAGGCUCAACCUCAAAUCUGCAUUGGAAACUAGGAGACUUGAGUAUAGUAGGGGUAGAGGGAAUUUCCAGUGGAGCGGUGAAAUGCGUAGAUAUUGGAAAGAACACCGAUGGCGAAGGCACUCUACUGGGCUAUUACUGACACUCGAGAGACGAAAAGCUAGGGGAGCAAAUGGG